RNAcentral lists this ribosomal RNA (1436 nucleotides) under uncultured organism. RNAcentral describes it as "partial small subunit ribosomal RNA". It matches the Rfam family "Bacterial small subunit ribosomal RNA". The record is from RNAcentral.
GAACGCUGGCGGCGUGCUUAACACAUGCAAGUCGAACGGAAAGGCCCUGCUUUUGUGGGGUGCUCGAGUGGCGAACGGGUGAGUAACACGUGAGUAACCUGCCCUUGACUUUGGGAUAACUUCAGGAAACUGGGGCUAAUACCGGAUAGGAGCUCCUGCCGCAUGGUGGGGGUUGGAAAGUUUCGGCGGUUGGGGAUGGACUCGCGGCUUAUCGGCUUGUUGGUGGGGUAGUGGCUUACCAAGGCUUUGACGGGUAGCCGGCCUGAGAGGGUGACCGGCCACAUUGGGACUGAGAUACGGCCCAGACUCCUACGGGAGGCAGCAGUGGGGAAUAUUGCACAAUGGGCGGAAGCCUGAUGCAGCAACGCCGCGUGCGGGAUGACGGCCUUCGGGUUGUAAACCGCUUUCGCCUGUGACGAAGCGUGAGUGACGGUAAUGGGUAAAGAAGCACCGGCUAACUACGUGCCAGCAGCCGCGGUGAUACGUAGGGUGCGAGCGUUGUCCGGAUUUAUUGGGCGUAAAGGGCUCGUAGGUGGUUGAUCGCGUCGGAAGUGUAAUCUUGGGGCUUAACCCUGAGCGUGCUUUCGAUACGGGUUGACUUGAGGAAGGUAGGGGAGAAUGGAAUUCCUGGUGGAGCGGUGGAAUGCGCAGAUAUCAGGAGGAACACCAGUGGCGAAGGCGGUUCUCUGGGCCUUUCCUGACGCUGAGGAGCGAAAGCGUGGGGAGCGAACAGGCUUAGAUACCCUGGUAGUCCACGCUGUAAAACGGUGGGUACUAGGUGUGGGGUCCAUUCCACGGGUUCCGUGCCGUAGCUAACGCUUUAAGUACCCCGCCUGGGGAGUACGGCCGCAAGGCUAAAACUCAAAGGAAUUGACGGGGCCCCGCACAAGCGGCGGAGCAUGCGGAUUAAUUCGAUGCAACGCGUAGAACCUUACCUGGGUUUGACAUGGAUCGGGAGUGCUCAGAGAUGGGUGUGCCUCUUUUGGGGUCGGUUCACAGGUGGUGCAUGGCUGUCGUCAGCUCGUGUCGUGAGAUGUUGGGUUAAGUCCCGCAACGAGCGCAACCCUUGUUCACUGUUGCCUGCACGUUAUGGUGGGGACUCAGUGGAGACCGCCGGGGUCAACUCGGAGGAAGGUGGGGAUGACGUCAAGUCAUCAUGCCCCUUAUGUCCAGGGCUUCACGCAUGCUACAAUGGCUGGUACAGAGAGUGGCGAGCCUGUGAGGGUGAGCGAAUCUCGGAAAGCCGGUCUCAGUUCGGAUUGGGGUCUGCAACUCGACCUCAUGAAGUCGGAGUCGCUAGUAAUCGCAGAUCAGCAACGCUGCGGUGAAUACGUUCCCGGGGCUUGUACACACCGCCCGUCAAGUCAUGAAAGUUGGUAACACCCGAAGCCGGAGGCCUAACCGUUGUGGGGGAGCCGUCGAAGGUGGGACUGGUA